RNAcentral lists this ribosomal RNA (368 nucleotides) under uncultured organism. RNAcentral's name for it is "bacterial SSU rRNA". It matches the Rfam family "Bacterial small subunit ribosomal RNA", at positions 526 to 896 of the family's 1533-position model. The record is from RNAcentral.
CGAAGGUGGCAAGCGUUGUUCGGAUUCACUGGGCGUACAGGGUGUGUAGGCGGUUUGGUAAGCCUUUUGUGAAAGCUUCGGGCCUAACCCGGAAAGCGCAGAGGGGACUGCCAGGCUAGAGGACGGGAGAGGAGCGCGGAAUUCCCGGUGUAGCGGUGAAAUGCGUAGAGAUCGGGAGGAAGGCCGGUGGCGAAGGCGGCGCUCUGGAACGUAUCUGACGCUGAGACACGAAAGCGUGGGGAGCAAACAGGAUUAGAUACCCUGGUAGUCCACGCCCUAAACUAUGGACGCUAAGUGUCGGCGGGUUACCGCCGGUGCCGCAGCUAACGCAUUAAGUGUCCCGCCUGGGAAGUACGGCCGCAAGGUUG